CCCGGCUCCCCCGCUCACCUGGGCGGAUUUCUUGCAGGGUCCGGACUGCAGGAACCGGGCGAUCAGGGACCUGGAUAACGAUUCGAUGGAGAGAUGUACCUGGUACUCUGGCGGGUGAGGGGAGAUCCAGAGCUAUUUUAAGCCCAGCAAGAAGAAGGCAGCCGACAUUAUGCAAAAGCCAACCAUUCUCUGUGUGCUGGGGACAGAGCGUCUGACUGGAAAUGCAUAAAGCAACGGAAGGAAAGUGGAUUGGAACAACUGAGGAUAUCCAGCAGAACAAAAUACUCCAAACAACUGAGGAGGAGGAGGAGGACAGAAAAGGCUGUGCCCAUGGGGAGAGCAGGAACUGGUGAGGUUUCCCCAUUCCCCAGCAGCAAACCAGGGCAGAGCCAGCCGGUGGGGAUUCCCAGCACUGAUGUGGGGCUGGAUCCGGAUCGGGGUCUCUCCGGCCCCCGGGGCAGCCCCGCUCCCGCUCGCUGGCCCCUGCAAGCGCCCGCCGAGGAAAAGUAAUCACUUGCCUUACCUCCGGGUUUAAUUACUCUCUGCUCCAGAGCUAAUUAGGAGCGCGGUCCGUCCGGAGGUCGGGGACGGAGCCCUCCCUCCCGCUUCGUGCCAUCUGCCAUUGCCAUGACACUGGCUUUGCUGUUC
This is a long non-coding RNA of Calidris pugnax (ruff), 648 nucleotides long. RefSeq lists it as uncharacterized. NCBI's taxonomy places the organism in Eukaryota, Metazoa, Chordata, Aves, Charadriiformes, Scolopacidae. The record is from RefSeq and is a predicted model, not a curated record. The transcript has 4 exons.